CACCGUAACCAAAAGAGAACUCUCUCUACAUGGAUACUUGGAAAGACUGAAAAGUGUUACAAGCUUUCUCUAAGCCUGGCUGGCCUUUAAGAUUCAGGACUUUUACAGCGGUCCCUCGGUUUUUCAGAUACAGAGUUUGUUUGUGUAGCCUUGGCUGUCCUCUGGAGACUAUAUUGGACUGUAAGUCAGAGAUAUACCUGCUGAAGUUAAAAGGUUUUUCUAAUAUAUAUUGUACCCAGAAAUAGCAGUGCAACCAAAAAAAUAGCACGGGAAUUUUCACAGAUGACUCCAGACCAAGGGUUAUGUUGGAUGAUUGAAGCACCAUAGCAGUGAUCUACAUCAUGCUGGUUUGUGUGUGUAUGUGUAUUUUAUUUUUCCUACCCAUGAUGCCUUUACAUAGCCCAGGCAGACUUCUUACUUGUGACUACUCAUUUCUCAGCAUCGCAAAUCCAGGUUUGGACCCUCAAACUCUUUCUGGGAAUGUUUGCUUUUGAUAUAUAAGGGCUCACCUGGGUUCACGUGCCUGCAAUCAGAACUGACAACAGUUCAUCCCAUCUUCACUAACAUCCUCAUGGCUGGUUUGAGCUCUGCUGAGACUCUUGGGAAAUUUUCAUCAUUACAUACAAAACUUCUCUUUGUUUGGACUCAUCCAAAACCUAUAAUAGUCUGAGGAUCUUCCCCACGGGCUUAUACGGUACAAGUGACCCAUGUUUCCUACUCUGUGUCUCCUGCCUAGAUUAUCAGCAUCUUUUAUAUCUCACUUUAUUAGUGUGUAUAUUCAGAGGAAAAGUACCAAUCCUGGGCAAUUUUGGAAAGUGGGCUUUGAACUCCACACAGAUAAGAAGUUUCUACCAGAGCAGAAAGUUAGAUCUCUGGCUUUGGAUGGAGGAGGUAUUCAAAGGAUCCCUGUGCCCCUGGAGUCUCCUCGAAAAGGCAACUUGGAUUUAUGUCAAUUUGAGGUAAGAUAGCACAGAGUCAAGGACUGUACAAUAUGACACCAGUAGUCCUCUUCAACAUUCUAUUAUAUCUAGGAGAGCAAUGGCAUCUCCUGUGAUGUCACCAGUGUUGUGACAACACCAAGUGCCAGUAUGGCAUUUGUUCAGUGCCUUCAUUGUUGACCCAUACACAAGUUUGCAAGACUGUGCAGCUAUUUCAGAGAGAGAAUGGAGAACAUAAAGAGACCAGAGAGAGGCACAAGGAAGCAGGCUUCAGUCUCAGUAUCAAACAUUGUAAAAUAAGUGGCUAUGGGGAAGGAACAGAGAGUUCUGGGUAGGAAAUGAAAGUAAGACAGUUCUGCUUCAUAGUUUUCCAAACGACAAUCAAAAGGAAUCUAAGAAACAGAAUUCACUCACAAUAAAACUUUACUGCUUGAUUUUUGGCAAAAAUCUUUGUUAGAAUGUUUUUGCUCUUGGCAUCAUCUGUGCUCCUUGUGAAUAAGUUUGGCAUUUAAUGUGCUCUUAACUGUAAGGAAAAUUUUCAAGUGACCAAACAUUUAAUAACACUUCUUAUACAAUAACAGACCAGGAUCAACAUCUUCAUUAACAGUGAAAGAAUAUACCAUUUAAAACUUUGUAUUGACCAUAUAUCACACUGAUGACUUACACUGAUGUUUUUCUACUUAAUGGUGUUCCAAUUCGAUAAAUUGUUAGAUUUACUGAAUUGUCUACAUAAUAUAAGAUUUUUAGCUUCUUUAACUGGGAUUAUAUUCCAGGGGAUGUUAACAGAAGUAAAUGAAACACAGUGCAUUGUAUAUGCAAUUGAAAAUCUGAGAUAAUAAAGGAAAGAACUGUGAGGGGGGAAUUCAUGAAAAAAUAUAUGUUAUUAAUCUUCCUUUUGUGCAAAAAUUAUAAUAUAGGCUAUUUUCCUUUACCAGUAUUUCAUAACACAAUUAACAAAUGGCAAAUAUAUCAUUCCACUUGCUAAAAUUAGAAAAGAAAUAGUCAUUUUUGCCUCUCUUAUUAUUUUCACCUGUUGGUCCAUAGCAAUGUUUUCUGAAAGUACUCUUUUUUUUAAAGAUUUAUUCAUUUAUUAUGUAUACAGUAUUCUGUCUGCAUGUAUGUCCACAGGCCAGA
Long non-coding RNA from Mesocricetus auratus (golden hamster), 2072 nucleotides. RefSeq lists it as uncharacterized. The record is from RefSeq and is a predicted model, not a curated record. Lineage: Eukaryota; Metazoa; Chordata; Mammalia; Rodentia; Cricetidae. The transcript has 3 exons.